CCUACGGGAGGCAGCAGUGGGGAAUAUUGGACAAUGGGCGCAAGCCUGACCCAGCAACGCCGCGUGAAGGAAGAAGGCUUUCGGGUUGUAAACUUCUUUUCUGAGGGACGAAGAAAGUGACGGUACCUCAGGAAUAAGCCACGGCUAACUACGUGCCAGCAGCCGCGGGAAUACGUAGGUGGCAAGCGUUAUCCGGAUUUAUUGGGUGUAAAGGGCGUGUAGGCGGGAAAGCAAGUCAGAUGUGAAAACUCAGGGCUCAACCCUGAGCCUGCAUUUGAAACUGUUUUUCUUGAGUGCUGGAGAGGCAAUCGGAAUUCCGGGUGUAGCGGUGAAAUGCGUAGAGAUACGGAGGAACACCAGUGGCGAAGGCGGAUUGCUGGACAGUAACUGACGCUGAGGCACGAAGGCCAGGGGAGCGAAAGGGAUUAGAUACCCGAGUAGUC
Molecule: ribosomal RNA, 443 nt
Filed under: uncultured bacterium
Lineage: Bacteria
Description: partial 16S ribosomal RNA
Rfam family: Bacterial small subunit ribosomal RNA
Source: RNAcentral